This 253-nucleotide ribosomal RNA is filed under the name uncultured bacterium. RNAcentral's name for it is "partial 16S ribosomal RNA". It matches the Rfam family "Bacterial small subunit ribosomal RNA", at positions 524 to 776 of the family's 1533-position model. The record is from RNAcentral.
UACGAAGGGGGCUAGCGUUGCUCGGAAUCACUGGGCGUAAAGCGCACGUAGGCGGAUUGCUAAGUCAGGGGUGAAAUCCUGGAGCUCAACUCCAGAACUGCCCUUGAUACUGGCGGUCUCGAGUCCGGAAGAGGUGAGUGGAACUCCGAGUGUAGAGGUGAAAUUCGUAGAUAUUCGGAAGAACACCAGUGGCGAAGGCGGCUCACUGGUCCGGUACUGACGCUGAGGUGCGAAAGCGUGGGGAGCAAACAGG